This 1355-nucleotide long non-coding RNA is filed under the name Nicotiana benthamiana. RNAcentral's name for it is "long non-coding RNA (NBEN_LNC019668)". Lineage: Eukaryota; Viridiplantae; Streptophyta; Magnoliopsida; Solanales; Solanaceae. The record is from RNAcentral.
UUGAUACAUGGGGUCCCUAUGCCACUCCUAUUCAUAAUGGUUGUAGAUACUUUCUCACAAUUGUUGAUGAUUUUACCAGAGCAACUUGGACCCACCUUAUGGGAUCCAAGAGCAAUGCCUUUCCUCUUAUCAAAGCCUUCAUUGCCAUGAUUAAAACUCAAUUUCAGUCUAUGGUACAAACCAUUAGGAGUGAUAAUGCCUUUGAACUUGGCUCUAGUAGCUGUGGCAGCAAUUUCUUUGCUGAAAAUGGUAUACUGCAUCAAACUUCCUGCUCUCACACACCACAACAAAAUGGUGUAGUUGAGAGAAAGCAUAGAUAUCUGCUAGAAACCUCCAGGGCUUUACUCUUCCAUUCACAGCUCCCUAUUAGAUUCUGGGGUGACUGUGUACUUACUGCAACCUACUUAGAAACCUCCAGGGCUUUACUUUUCCAUUCCCAGCUCCCUAUUAGAUUCUGGGGUGACUGUGUACUUAGUGCAACCUACCUCAUUAACAGGUUUCCUUCCAAAAUUCUUCACAAUAAGUCCUCUUUUGAGUUGCUAUUUGGACAGAUUCCAUCCUAUAACCAUCUUAAAACUUUUGGUUGCCUCUGUUUUGCCUCAGUCCCUAAAUAGAAUAGGGACAAUUCCAACCUAGAGCUGAUCCCUGUGUUUUUCUGGGCUAUCCUUUGGGUAAAAAGGAUUACAAACUGUAUAACUUGAAGUCUAAAAUUACUCUAAUCUCCAGGGAUGUCAUUUUUCAUGAAGAUGUCUUUCCUUUUGCCUCUACAGGGAACUCUUUCCAUGGUUCCUUUCCUCCUCCUACUCCUUCUUCUGCCUGUAUUCCUCCUGUUGAUGACUUCUUACCCAAUCCUCCCUUAUCUCUCACCCAGCAACCUCUUGCUUCAGCUUCCCCUUGCUCUUCCCCUUCACACAAUCUUUCAGUGCCUACCUUAUCUGUUCCAGAAGAUCCACUAGGACACAUGUUCUUCCUGCUCACCUGCAGCAGUAUGUUUGCAAUCUUCCCCCUUCUAUCUCUGGCCCCAUUUCUUCUUCCACUUGUCUUCAUAGUUUAGUUAGCAUUACAGAGACUGAAACUUCCUCCUAUAAGCAGGCAGCCUCCAUUCCUGCUUGGCAGGAGGCAAUGGCCAAGGAAUUUGCAGCCUUGGAGGCCAAUCAUACCUGGUCUCUGGUUCCCCUUCCCCCUGACAAGAAACUUAUUGGUUGCAAGUGGGUUUAUAAGAUAAAAUAUAGGGCUGAUGGAUCUAUGGAGAGGCAUAAGGCCAGGCUGGUUGUUAGGGUUGACACCCAGAUUGAGGGGGUAGACUUUACUGAGACAUUCUCUCCUGUUGUCAAAUUUUCAACUAUUAAAUCCCU